UUUGCUGAAGAUCUAAAAAGCAUUUGAAUCUUACAACGGCUAUAUUUCGGUUCAGCGACUUCAGCCUAAAUGUAUGAGCAUGGGAGGAGAGAGAGAGAUGCAGAGGCGAGGGAAAGAGAGAGAGAGAAGUCAUCGACGAAUCAGCGGUAAGGUGAUGAAACCGACCGCGAGCCAUCCCCUCUCUCCAGUGACGGAAAACGGGUCUUCUUUUUCUCCGAUUUCAUUUUCUUAUGUUUUUCUGUUUCUUUAAAUUUGAACCGAGGGAGAGAAGCAGAGAGCAGGAGCGGGGAGAGUGCUGGGGAGAAAGAGGUGCAGAGAGAGUGACGGGAUGGGGGAGAGAGAGAGAUGCAGAGGCGACGGCGACAGAGAGACAAGGCAUUGACGAAGCAGCAGUAAGGUGAUCAAACCCACCGCGAGCCACUCCCUUUCUCUCAGGAGUGGGGGAGAGUGCUGGGGAGAAAGCGGUGCAGAGAGAGUGACGGGAUGGGAGAAACAGAGAGAAAAAGGCUACGAUGAAACCUCCGAGGUGACGAGAACCACAGCCCUGGCUGAACCCAUCCCCUUUUUCCACUGGAUGAAAACUGAUCUUCUUGCUUUUCUGAGUCACCGCCCUGGCUGAACCCAUCGGUCGCUGCUUGAAAAUUGCAGGCCGGGUAAUCUCUCAAACGUACGUUCAGAAUUUCACCAUGAAUUAGGGUUUGCAGUUUUCAGUUUUCCGUCCCUUAUUCUUUCCCACCAAGUAAUCGAUCUCAUAAACUAGGGCAAAAAUCUAGCGGUCUGCCUUUUGACUGACACUUACAACAAGGAAUGAUUCUUGGAGAUGACCUUUUCAUGUUGAUGGAAACUUGGAAAUCAGUAUAGUGUGGAUUUUUGUAUUCUAAAAAUCAUAUCAAUUGGAUACUCCACAGGGACCUUAAAUCAGAAAAUCUACUACUCAGGGAAGUAUGUGUCUGCAGGUAGCUGAUUUUGGGAUCUCAUGCUUAGAAUCUGAGUGUGGCGGUGGAAAGGGGUUUACAUAUACAUACCUCUGGAUGGCACUGGAAAUGAUAAAUUUUUUUAUCCCGAACAUUUGAAGCCUUCUUUAUAAGUAAACAGUUUGUUUUGUAAAAUCUGUAGAAAAUGUUUUCUCACUAGUUGCAUUGUCCCUCUGGAAAUUGGAUGGGGGGAACAUUCUGUCCACCUGAUACAGUAUGCCCUUUAUUUUUUCUUUCCUUCUAUCAACCCAAACAAGGAAAUUUUUUCUGAAGAAACCGGUCAUUGUCUUCUCUUUUUUCUCUGUGACCUAUCUUGUAGGCAUCAGACAUGGAGAAAGAAGACUCUACCAAGAUGGAUCAGUGACACUGAGCUUAUAAACUAAAAAGGUUUUGAAAAUAGAAUAAAAAUCAUUGACUUGUAGUCCUAGAAAGUACUUUAAACUAAUCUGUGAAAAUGUGGAUUCUCUUACAAAAGUCAACUAGUAUAGUUAUGGGGAGCGAUUUCCUUGCUUCUGAUUUUUCUUGUUUUCUUUCCUCAUUCCUGAAUUCUUUAAUCACCAAGACUGAAAACUCUUAAAUGAAAAUAAGGGCUGGUGGUUUGAAGGGAAUACUUGUAUUUAUUCAAACAACAUAGAAAAUGUCAAAAUCUGAUUAGUGGA
Macadamia integrifolia is the source of this 1633-nucleotide long non-coding RNA. RefSeq lists it as uncharacterized. NCBI's taxonomy places the organism in Eukaryota, Viridiplantae, Streptophyta, Magnoliopsida, Proteales, Proteaceae. The record is from RefSeq and is a predicted model, not a curated record. The transcript has 2 exons.